Molecule: ribosomal RNA, 468 nt
Filed under: uncultured bacterium
Lineage: Bacteria
Description: partial 16S ribosomal RNA
Rfam family: Bacterial small subunit ribosomal RNA
Source: RNAcentral
GACGAACGCUGGCGGCGUGCUUAACACAUGCAAGUCGAACGGAAAGGCCCUGCUUUUGUGGGGUGCUCGAGUGGCGAACGGGUGAGUAACACGUGAGUAACCUGCCCUUGACUUUGGGAUAACUUCAGGAAACUGGGGCUAAUACCGGAUAGGAGCUCCUGCUGCAUGGUGGGGGUUGGAAAGUUUCGGCGGUUGGGGAUGGACUCGCGGCUUAUCAGCUUGUUGGUGGGGUAGUGGCUUACCAAGGCUUUGACGGGUAGCCGACCUGAGAGGGUGACCGGCCACAUUGGGACUGAGAUACGGCCCAGACUCCUACGGGAGGCAGCAGUGGGGAAUAUUGCACAAUGGGCGGAAGCCUGAUGCAGCAACGCCGCGUGCGGGAUGACGGCCUUCGGGUUGUAAACCGCUUUCGCCUGUGACGAAGCAUGAGUGACGGUAAUGGGUAAAGAAGCACCGGCUAACUACGUG